Molecule: ribosomal RNA, 440 nt
Filed under: uncultured bacterium
Lineage: Bacteria
Description: partial 16S ribosomal RNA
Rfam family: Bacterial small subunit ribosomal RNA
Source: RNAcentral
CCUACGGGGUGCAGCAGUGGGGAAUAUUGCACAAUGGGGGAAACCCUGAUGCAGCGACGCCGCGUGAGUGAAGAAGUAUCUCGGUAUGUAAAGCUCUAUCAGCAGGGAAGAUAAUGACGGUACCUGACCAAGAAGCCCCGGCUAACUACGUGCCAGCAGCCGCGGUAAUACGUAGGGGGCAAGCGUUAUCCGGAUUUACUGGGUGUAAAGGGAGCGUAGACGGCAGCACAAGUCUGGAGUGAAAUCCCGGGGCUUAACCCCGGAACUGCUUUGGAAACUGUGCGGCUGGAGUGCAGGAGGGGUAAGCGGAAUUCCUAGUGUAGCGGUGAAAUGCGUAGAUAUUAGGAGGAACACCGGUGGCGAAGGCGGCUUACUGGACUGUAACUGACGUUGAGGCUCGAAAGCGUGGGGAGCAAACAGGAUUAGAUACCCCAGUAGUC